This is a non-coding RNA of Aegilops tauschii subsp. strangulata, 698 nucleotides long. The record is from RefSeq and is a predicted model, not a curated record. Lineage: Eukaryota; Viridiplantae; Streptophyta; Magnoliopsida; Poales; Poaceae.
UUGGUAAGUCCUAACUCCUUUGCUUUUAUUCACUCCGCUCUCUUGGCCAUCUUUAACGAAUUCCCAAUCUGUCUAUUUUGAAACAACACUGGCGGAAGGUAACCGAGGGGCUUAAUAGCCCUGCCCCACAGCCGGAGAAUCACAACCGGGAGCUUGAUCCUAGGUUCGAAGAGGACCCGGAUAUAUUCGUGGUACUCGCGGAAGGGGUGUUUUACCAGGCGAGUUAUGACGGCAUAGAAGUGGACAUUAUCGCCAAUUAUCCUGGUCUUCUUCCAGCUUCCCACGGGAGACGUUCGGCACGUCAUGCUACGCCGAGGAUGACUCCAAGAAGAGCGGCUCCCGCGCCGAACAAGGCCUCGAAAAGGAAGGUCCGCGAAGACAAGGCCGGUCCUUCAUCAAAGAGGAAAAAGGUUCGCCGGACUAUGUCCGGGGAUUCGGCCGGUCGUACUCCCAACAACCGGGAUUUAGAUCCCACCGGAGAGGUGGGGGGCACUAUGGGGACAACGCCGGACUGUCCUUCAGAUGAGAGUUCGGAAGACAUGUCUGUUACCAACUCGGAAGUAGAGAGCGCCAUGAAUCAUCGGCGCUGCAGGGCUGUCUUACGAGACCCUAAGUUCUCGGGAGAGGCAUUCAAUGCCUUCAGCUCGGCUGACGCAUACAUCCGAGCUGCUCGAGAUGGGCUUAGAAAAGCCACAAAG